RNAcentral lists this long non-coding RNA (373 nucleotides) under Gossypium raimondii (Peruvian cotton). Its description in RNAcentral is "long non-coding RNA (GRAI_LNC008350)". Lineage: Eukaryota; Viridiplantae; Streptophyta; Magnoliopsida; Malvales; Malvaceae. The record is from RNAcentral.
UGAAAUAAAGAAACAUCACAAAGAAAUUUUGAUUUAUGUUUGGUUAGUAUGAAAUCACUCCUCACUCUUGCUUGGAUAUUGUUAUUUUCUUCUUCCACCAACAAACUCUCAUCACUCACACUUUCAUUUCUUUCUUUGUUCUCACUUUUUUUCUCUACUUCUUUUUCAAUUUCAAUUUCUUUUUCAUCCCCAAUCUCUAUUUCUUUUCUCUCACACUCUUUUUCUUUUUCAAUCUCUUUUUCUUGUUCACACUCACUUUUUCUUUCUUUUUCAAUUUCUUUCUCUUGUCUCUUAGAUUCUCUUAUUUUCACUUUUAACUUCUCUCGAUCUUCACAAAUUUAUUCCCGAGUCAAUGAUGUCAAGGUGAUCUUAU